This 73-nucleotide transfer RNA is filed under the name Pseudomonadota bacterium. RNAcentral describes it as "Proteobacteria bacterium tRNA-Ile". The stretch from base 8 to 66 matches the Rfam family "tRNA", at positions 8 to 63 of the family's 71-position model. Rfam says of the family: Transfer RNA (tRNA) molecules are approximately 80 nucleotides in length. Lineage: Bacteria; Pseudomonadati; Pseudomonadota. The record is from RNAcentral.
GGGCCGAUAGCUCAGCUGGUUAGAGCGCACGCCUGAUAAGCGUGAGGUCGGUGGUUCAAGUCCACCGAGCCUG